ACUCCUACGGGAGGCAGCAGUGGGGAAUUUUGCGCAAUGGGGGAAACCCUGACGCAGCAACGCCGCGUGAGUGAUGAAGGCCUUCGGGUCGUAAAGCUCUGUCAGAGGGGAAGAAAUGCAGGGUGCUAAUAUCGCUUCUGCUUGACGGUACCCUCAAAGGAAGCACCGGCUAACUCCGUGCCAGCAGCCGCGGUAAUACGGAGGGUGCGAGCGUUGUUCGGAAUUAUUGGGCGUAAGGCGCGUGUAGGCGGUUUGUUAAGUCUGAUGUGAAAGCCCCGGGCUCAACCUGGGAAGUGCAUUGGAAACUGGCAGACUUGAAUACGGGAGAGGGCAGUGGAAUUCCUAGUGUAGGAGUGAAAUCCGUAGAUAUUAGGAGGAACACCGGUGGCGAAGGCGGCUGCCUGGACCGAUAUUGACGCUGAGACGCGAAAGCGUGGGGAGCAAACAGGAUUAGAUACCCUGGUAGUCCACGCCGUAAACGAUGAGAACUAGGUGUCGCGGGUA
Molecule: ribosomal RNA, 504 nt
Filed under: uncultured Geobacter sp.
Lineage: Bacteria; Pseudomonadati; Thermodesulfobacteriota; Desulfuromonadia; Geobacterales; Geobacteraceae
Description: bacterial SSU rRNA
Rfam family: Bacterial small subunit ribosomal RNA
Source: RNAcentral